AGCUGUUUCUGCCCUCCUCCUCCUCCUCCUCCUCCGUCUCUGCUUUGAUUAUUGUUUGCUGCCCGGAGUGGACCGCUGGUGAUGGUUGAUUAUUGUCGUGGAGGGAUUAUUCGGUGGGGGUGGGGGUUUGCGUUGCGGGGUUUAAACCUACUGUACUCAACUUGGCAGGUCUGGAUGGGAUGGAGCUCUGCUCGGACUUGGCUGUGCGUCCAUCCACCACCACAUCUUCCUUCCGGUUGCUUCUUUCUUCACGAUAACGCGUACUGACAUGGGCCGCUCUCAUUCGCCGUCCGCGUUGCCGCAGCCCCCAAUUAUGCGGCUAUUCUAUUCGUCAUAGGAGCCGGCGUCGGGGGAGUGGAGCAGUACUCCUGGGCUCCCCGCCUUGCCGCUCUGCGCAUCGUGAGGGGCCGGCGUCCGGCGAGGGUGUCACGACGGGAAGCUCAGAGUGGAGAAGGGACCAAGGGACACGAGCACACGGCGCCGGACUCUGUUUCGGGAUUCUCUCUGUGUGCUUUUUCUCGUGAGCCGGGAAAGAUCCAGACGGCAGAAAUCAUAACGGAUCAUGGCUUUUGUUGUACUAGCUCCGAAUCUCGUGAGAUUUUCGCAGGACAAGCACAAGCUAGUGGCAUUCUACUGUUUUUUUUUCCAUAGCUCUAAAGUCAUAAUUCCAUGGAUUUUGUAACUUACAGGUUGUCUUUUUUUCUGUUUCAGAAAGAAGAAAAGAAAAACAGUUUUUUUAGA
This is a long non-coding RNA of Zea mays, 741 nucleotides long. RefSeq lists it as uncharacterized. Lineage: Eukaryota; Viridiplantae; Streptophyta; Magnoliopsida; Poales; Poaceae. The record is from RefSeq and is a predicted model, not a curated record. The transcript is spliced from 2 exons.